This 106-nucleotide small nuclear RNA is filed under the name Catagonus wagneri (Chacoan peccary). The record is from RNAcentral. Lineage: Eukaryota; Metazoa; Chordata; Mammalia; Artiodactyla; Tayassuidae.
GUACUUGCCUCAGCAGCACAUAUAUUAAAAUUGGAAUGAUACAGAGAAGAUUAGCAUAGCCCCUGAGCAAGAAUGACAUGCAAAUUCGUGAGCAUUCCAUAUUUUU